AAAAUAUUUAAAUUAAAGCUUCUAACUUUAAAAUUAGAUUAAUUAUCUUAUAUUUUU
This 57-nucleotide transfer RNA is filed under the name Nomada flavoguttata. RNAcentral describes it as "tRNA-Ser". Lineage: Eukaryota; Metazoa; Arthropoda; Insecta; Hymenoptera; Apidae. The record is from RNAcentral.